GACGAACGCUGGCGGCGUGCUUAACACAUGCAAGUCGAACGGAAAGGCCCUGCUUUUGUGGGGUGCUCGAGUGGCGAACGGGUGAGUAACACGUGAGUAACCUGCCCUUGACUUUGGGAUAACUUCAGGAAACUGGGGCUAUUACCGGAUAGAAGCUCCUGCUGCACGGUGGGGGUUGGAAAGUUUCGGCGGUUGGGGCUGGACUCGCGGCUUAUCCGCUUGUUGGUGGGGUAGGGGCUUACCAAGGCUUUGACGGGUAGCCGGCCUGAGAGGGGUACCGGCCACAUUGGGACUGAGAUACGGCGCAGACUCCUACGGGAGGCAGCAGUGGGGAAUAUUGCACAAUGGGCGGAAGCCUGAUGCAGCAACGCCGCGUGCGGGAUAACGGCCUUCGGGUUGUAAACAGCUUUCGCCUGUGACGAAGCGUGAGUGACGGUAAUGGGUAAAGAAGCACCGGCUAACUACGUG
RNAcentral lists this ribosomal RNA (468 nucleotides) under uncultured bacterium. Its description in RNAcentral is "partial 16S ribosomal RNA". It matches the Rfam family "Bacterial small subunit ribosomal RNA", at positions 28 to 507 of the family's 1533-position model. The record is from RNAcentral.